UGGGGAAUAUUGGACAAUGGGCGAAAGCCUGAUCCAGCCAUGCCGCGUGUGUGAAGAAGGUCUUCGGAUUGUAAAGCACUUUAAGUUGGGAGGAAGGGCAUUAACCUAAUACGUUAGUGUUUUGACGUUACCGACAGAAUAAGCACCGGCUAACUCUGUGCCAGCAGCCGCGGUAAUACAGAGGGUGCAAGCGUUAAUCGGAAUUACUGGGCGUAAAGCGCGCGUAGGUGGUUUGUUAAGUUGGAUGUGAAAUCCCCGGGCUCAGCCUGGGGACUGCAUUCAAAACUGACUGACUAGAGUAUGGUAGAGGGUGGUGGAAUUUCCUGUGUAGCGGUGAAAUGCGUAGAUAUAGGAAGGAACACCAGUGGCGAAGGCGACCACCUGGACUAAUACUGACACUGAGGUGCGAAAGCGUGGGGAGCAAACA
This 427-nucleotide ribosomal RNA is filed under the name uncultured bacterium. RNAcentral's name for it is "partial 16S ribosomal RNA". It matches the Rfam family "Bacterial small subunit ribosomal RNA", at positions 355 to 774 of the family's 1533-position model. The record is from RNAcentral.